UACGUAGGUGGCAAGCGUUGUCCGGAUUUACUGGGCGUAAAGAGCGCGCAGGCGGUCGGAUAAGUCGAAUGUGAAAGCCCCCGGCUCAACUGGGGAGGGUCAUUCGAUACUGUUCGACUCGAAGGCAGGAGAGGGGAGUGGAAUUCCCGGUGUAGUGGUGAAAUGCGUAGAUAUCGGGAGGAACACCAGUGGCGAAGGCGACUUCCUGGCCUGUUCUUGACGCUGAGGCGCGAAAGCUAGGGGAGCAAACGGG
RNAcentral lists this ribosomal RNA (253 nucleotides) under uncultured bacterium. Its description in RNAcentral is "partial 16S ribosomal RNA". It matches the Rfam family "Bacterial small subunit ribosomal RNA", at positions 524 to 776 of the family's 1533-position model. The record is from RNAcentral.